Molecule: non-coding RNA, 103 nt
Filed under: Musca domestica (house fly)
Lineage: Eukaryota; Metazoa; Arthropoda; Insecta; Diptera; Muscidae
Description: Mitochondrial DNA control region secondary structure A
Rfam family: Mitochondrial DNA control region secondary structure A
Source: Rfam by way of RNAcentral
UUAUCCAACGUGGAUUAUAUUUAUCCAACGUGGAUAAUAUUUAUCCAACGUGGAUAAUAUUUAUCCACCGUGGAUAAUAUUUAUCCAACGUGGAUAAUAUUUA